Molecule: ribosomal RNA, 390 nt
Filed under: uncultured bacterium
Lineage: Bacteria
Description: bacterial SSU rRNA
Rfam family: Bacterial small subunit ribosomal RNA
Source: RNAcentral
GACGAACGCUGGCGGCGUGCUUAACACAUGCAAGUCGAGCGGUAAGGCCCUUUCGGGGGUACGACGAGCGGCGAACGGGUGAGUAACACGUGGGUGACCUGCCUCUAGCUCUGGGAUAAGCCUGGGAAGCUGGGUCUAAUACCGGAUAUGACCUCGCGGUGCAUGUUGCGGGGUGGAAAGCCUUGUGCGGCUAGGGAUGGGCCCGCGGCCUAUCAGCUUGUUGGUGGGGUGANGGCCUACCAAGGCGACGACGGGUAGCCGGCCUGAGAGGGCGACCGGCCACACUGGGACUGAGACACGGCCCAGACUCCUACGGGAGGGCAGCAGUGGGGAAUCUUGCGCAAUGGGCGAAAGCCUGACGCAGCGACGCCGCGUGAGGGAUGACGGCCU